UUUAGAGGAAGUAAAAGUCGUAACAAGGUUUCCGUAGGUGAACCUGCGGAAGGAUCAUUACCGAGUUUUCGAGCUCCGGCUCGACUCUCCCACCCUUUGUGAACGUACCUCUGUUGCUUUGGCGGCUCCGGCCGCCAAAGGACCUUCAAACUCCAGUCAGUAAACGCAGACGUCUGAUAAACAAGUUAAUAAACUAAAACUUUCAACAACGGAUCUCUUGGUUCUGGCAUCGAUGAAGAACGCAGCGAAAUGCGAUAAGUAAUGUGAAUUGCAGAAUUCAGUGAAUCAUCGAAUCUUUGAACGCACAUUGCGCCCCUUGGUAUUCCGGGGGGCAUGCCUGUUCGAGCGUCAUUACAACCCUCAAGCUCUGCUUGGAAUUGGGCACCGUCCUCACUGCGGACGCGCCUCAAAGACCUCGGCGGUGGCUGUUCAGCCCUCAAGCGUAGUAGAAUACACCUCGCUUUGGAGCGGUUGGCGUCGCCCGCCGGACGAACCUUCUGAACUUUUCUCAAGGUUGACCUCGGAUCAGGUAGGGAUACCCGCUGAACUUAAGCAUAUCAAUAAC
RNAcentral lists this ribosomal RNA (565 nucleotides) under Lasiodiplodia theobromae. RNAcentral's name for it is "eukaryotic LSU rRNA". The stretch from base 198 to 351 matches the Rfam family "5.8S ribosomal RNA". Lineage: Eukaryota; Fungi; Ascomycota; Dothideomycetes; Botryosphaeriales; Botryosphaeriaceae. The record is from RNAcentral.